AGAGUUUGAUCAUGGCUCAGAAUGAACGUUGGCGGCGUGGAUUAGGCAUGCAAGUCGAGCGAGAACCGUAGCAAUACGGGGACAGCGGCGAAAGGGACAGUAAUGUGUAGAUUAUCUGCCCUCGGGUCUGGGAUAGCUGCGGGAAACUGCAGGUAAUACCAGAUGACAUCUCCGGAUCAAAGGUGUGAUUCCGCCCGAGGAUGAGUCUGCAUCCUAUUAGCUAGUUGGUGGGGUAACGGCCUACCAAGGCGAUGAUGGGUAGCAGGUGUGAGAGCACGACCUGCGUCAUUGGGACUGAGACACUGCCCAGACACCUACGGGUGGCUGCAGUCGAGAAUCUUCGGCAAUGGGCGCAAGCCUGACCGAGCGACGCCGCGUGUGGGAUGAAGGCCUUCGGGUUGUAAACCACUGUCAGAGGGGAUGAAAUGCUGGUGGGUUCUCCCAUCAGUUUGACAUAGCCUCAGAGGAAGGACGGGCUAAGUUCGUGCCAGCAGCCGCGGUAAGACGAACCGUCCAAACGUUAUUCGGAAUCACUGGGCUUAAAGGGUGCGUAGGCGGCGCGGAAAGUUGGGUGUGAAAUCCCUCGGCUUAACCGAGGAACUGCGCCCAAAACUACCGUGCUCGAGGGAGAUAGAGGUGAGCGGAACUUAGGGUGGAGCGGUGAAAUGCUGAUAUCCUAAGGAACACCGGUGGCGAAAGCGGCUCACUGGAUCUCUUCUGACGCUGAGGCACGAAAGCUAGGGUAGCGAACGGGAUUAGAUACCCUAGUAGUCC
Molecule: ribosomal RNA, 774 nt
Filed under: uncultured bacterium
Lineage: Bacteria
Description: bacterial SSU rRNA
Rfam family: Bacterial small subunit ribosomal RNA
Source: RNAcentral